GCUUGGUUGGCUCAGCUGGUUAGAGCGCCGGUCUCAUACCUCAAUAUGAGUGAUGACUGCAUCACGCCAUCCGGAGAUCACCAGUUCGAUCCUGGUACCGAGCA
Molecule: transfer RNA, 104 nt
Filed under: Athelia sp. TMB
Lineage: Eukaryota; Fungi; Basidiomycota; Agaricomycetes; Atheliales; Atheliaceae
Rfam family: tRNA
About the family: Transfer RNA (tRNA) molecules are approximately 80 nucleotides in length. Their secondary structure includes four short double-helical elements and three loops (D, anti-codon, and T loops). Further hydrogen bonds mediate the characteristic L-shaped molecular structure. tRNAs have two regions of fundamental functional importance: the anti-codon, which is responsible for specific mRNA codon recognition, and the 3' end, to which the tRNAs corresponding amino acid is attached (by aminoacyl-tRNA synthetases). tRNAs cope with the degeneracy of the genetic code in two manners: having more than one tRNA (with a specific anti-codon) for a particular amino acid; and 'wobble' base-pairing, i.e. permitting non-standard base-pairing at the 3rd anti-codon position.
Source: Rfam by way of RNAcentral